This 497-nucleotide ribosomal RNA is filed under the name uncultured bacterium. Its description in RNAcentral is "partial 16S ribosomal RNA". It matches the Rfam family "Bacterial small subunit ribosomal RNA", at positions 28 to 507 of the family's 1533-position model. The record is from RNAcentral.
GAUGAACGCUGGCGGCGUGCCUAAUACAUGCAAGUCGAGCGAACGGACGAGAAGCUUGCUUCUCUGAUGUUAGCGGCGGACAGGUGAGUAACACGUGGAUAACCUACCUAUAAGACUGGGAUAACUUCGGGAAACCGGAGCUAAUACCGGAUGAUAUUUUGAACCGCAUGGUUCAAAAGUGAAAGACGGUCUUGCUGUCACUUAUAGAUGGAUCCGCGCUGCAUUAGCUAGUUGGUAAGGUAACGGCUUACCAAGGCAACGAUGCAUAGCCGACCUGAGAGGGUGAUCGGCCACACUGGAACUGAGACACGGUCCAGACUCCUACGGGAGGCAGCAGUAGGGAAUCUUCCGCAAUGGGCGAAAGCCUGACGGAACAACGCCGCGUGAGUGAUGAAGGUCUUCGGAUCGUAAAACUCUGUUAUUAGGGAAGAACAUAUGUGUAAGUAACUGUGCACAUCUUGACGGUACCUAAUCAGAAAGCCACGGCUAACUACGUG